AUACCUCAGAAAUACCACUUGGCCAUUUCUCAGAAGGACUUAUUUCUCCUUUACUUCUUUCUCCAGGCAUCAAAAUGGGCUCCAUGGAACAUCUUUUGCAUGGGAGGCGGCCAGUGAUGACAGCAAGCUUUAUCCAUCACAAAACUGAUGAAUAGGGUCAAGGUGAUCCUUCUCUCUGCACUGAAGAGUGAGAGAAACCUUUGAUAAAACCCAAACAGAGAGAUCUCCACCAUUUCCUUCUGUCAUAUGUUGACCUCUGCAUCCCUCAGUACCACUGGGAUGGUAUUGUGCACCCCACAGACCCAAAGAAGAGCAGUGACAUAGCUGGAGAGGAGGAGCAGCGUCUGUUGUUACAAGGUGGUUGAUAAAAUUAAUUGUACAGCUGCAAGAAUACUUUUAUAUCAUGAUUACUAGAGCCACCCAAGGGUCUGUAAAUGAGAGCUAAAGAGCAUAAUGAGAAAACCCAGCUACAUUUGACCUGGCAUUGAACCACCACAUGCACCAGUCUUGCACAGUGCUACGGGGGAAGAGUUUGGUGUCAUUUGCCAUGAAGCUUUAUAAAUGCCUCAGGCAUCCUUGAGAAUUCUGGGAAUCCAAAAGCCCAGACAGCAAGAAAGUCUGAAUUUAACAAAAGGAGAAUUAAAGGAGAUCCAAAACAGUCAGUAACUGCUGUAAAGAUUCUGUUUUAUGGUCAAGUUGUGCAACUACUAUUAUCAACCAGCUAUGGGCAUCAGUAGGAGACUGCAGUAUUGCCAUCAGGUGGGUUAGUCUUAAUUACAAGGUGCUUAUUCAGUCUAAGGAAAAUACACUGCAGAUUAGUCACUGGCACCCAAAAUGGCAUAAUUAAUUGGAGUAAUUUAUUAAGACAAAUAGAGGGUCACAGCUAAGCAUGGUGCUUAGAGUUAAUUUACAGUUAACAAGGGUGCUCAUUUAGCCUGCUAACAGAAUGCAUCUAUGUUGAGAAAGGAUUUCAUCAUGCUUUCAAGAAGAGCAGAUACUGAGUUUUCUCUAGUGCUCUCAUGCUAUGUGACCUCACUGGUAUAAAUGUGUUUGCAGUAUGGAAGGACUCAUUCCUUUGUCCAGGUAAGAUUAAAAUGGUCUUUCUGAGCUAAAUUUUUCCUCAGCUGACUGUCUCUAAUAAUCAAAGUGCAGUAAAAACAUACUUUAAUUUUUUUUUGUCUUGCAUUUCCUGAAUCUUCUAUAUGCUUACAAUCAGUGCUGAUCCUCAACUAGUUUGUAAGAUAUUUCUCAUGAGAUCAUAUGUUGUUUAUGUACAGUCCCAACUCAAUCCAAAAGUGGUACUAUAAACCAAGCCAAAAUACUUUCUUGGGAAGUUGUGCUGAUUGAAGUUGAAGUGUUGGUGCUGCUGUUGGCUCGUCGUUACUCCACACUACCUGCAAAUUGGGUGGAGAACACCUUCAGCUGAGCCUUUUAAUUGCUCCAUUAAAAAUGAUAUGGGAGCAGCCCCUAAUCUCUUCUCAUAGAGACUUUCCAUGCAGCCCCUCACUGCCAAAACCUCACCGUAUAAACACAAUGCAACAGCAUUUUGGUAGUCCUGUCUCAAGAUUCUGAGUCCUUGAAGUUACACAGGUCUGUGGAUGCCAGCAGCUCUGCAAUAGCAAGCCAUGGCUAUGCAUUCAGGACUGUUUGCCUGAGUUUUACUGUUUUCCAUCUUAAAUGCUGAAGUCGGUCCCCAGAAGAAAUAAGCAGCUUGCCAGAGACUGAACAGAAAGGCACAGACUACACAGAGGAAGACGUGGGGAGUGGUGACUCCCAAGAUGUAUUCAUCAGUUGGCAGAUUGCUCUGGCCUACCAGCAAGCACCACAAGGAGAAUUAGCUACUUAAAUGAGAUGUUUUUAGAGGGACUUUUUUUUAGCAACGUUCUCUUCUGUUUGUUUGGUAGAGGAAAGCAUGGGAUAUUAGCCAGAAUUCUAUAUAUUCCUACAAAGGCCAAAUGUUAUUCAAGCAUCAUGACUAAUAAGAGCAGGAUUUAGCCAUGCAUGUUUGUUCUGUGGUCUUUUAAAGCCCUGGUUCUGUGCUCUACACUAUUCGAUUCUGAACUGGGGGAUGCUCCCCAUUUCCUAACAGGCAAGGUAUAUUCACGUGAGAAGCUCUAAAGCUCAAUGAAUUCAUUAAUUAGGAAAGGCUGGAGGAGAGAGGCCUUCAUCUAGCUCUCUUGCUGAAUUCUUGCAAGAAAAAUGUUCAGCCUCAAGUAUAUUUAAAUUUUUACUGCCAGGUUAAACCCUUGCACAAAAAAAAAUCUUACAAUGGAACUGCUGACAGGUCCUUAACUAUAGUAGCAGUCGCAGUCUCUGCCAUAAUAAAGAUAUUGCAUGUUAUCAAUAAUCCUCUUUCUGCUUGAAUCCCUGUCUUUCUAAAGAGAAAGGGCUUACUGACUGGGCAAAUCUAUUUAUAAAUUUUGUCUUGGCACAAGAAGAACUACACUGACAAUGCAGUGGUGAUCUGGGGAGGCAGCUGGUCUGAUUGCACACAAGCAGCAAGCUGAGUGUCAAAGCAGGGCUCUUAAAUUUUCUCUCAUUCCUCUAAAAGAGUGGGGCGAAUCAGGAAAAAAAAAAUGCGUUCUUUGAACAAGAUAGAUCAGAAAAGUUACAAGAGAUUGAGUAAACUGUCACACUUGGCACACUGAAGGGCUUUCACAUACUGCUCACCAUUGCAUGGAGUCAUAUGAACUGGGGGCUGGUGUGUGUGUAUGUGUAUUUGUAUAGAGGGAUGGAUACCACAACUGCCCAAGCUGAUAAGGGACAGUCUUUCUUGGGGUUGAUGAUAUUUUGCUUUGAAUAAAGUGAUGGAGAGGUAAAGCUGGAAGGGAAAGCAAUAAGAUCACAAGGAGGACACUCAAUUUUUCCCUCCGGGUCAUUUAAAAAGGAUGUUUCUAUUUGAAUAUGCUGUGGUAGAUUUAACAUCUCUUCACUGCUAAGCACUCUUCUUACAGAGAAGAUGAUGGAUUUAUUUCAUCAACAGCAGAGAAUGGCAAAUGGUUGAAGCCCUGUCCUUUAUCAUCUUUUCACAUUAUUGAUAUUCCAGUAGGAGUUGGAGUCUUUCCUUUCAGACCUUAACAAAUCAAGAUGGCAAUGUUCCUUAAUGUUCCUGUGCAUCUACUGCUGAGCAGUACCAAAGACUUGCUGUAUUUCUCCCCAUGCCAUUGGCCCAUUUCAAACUGGUCCAUUUCAAUAUGAUACAAAAUAAGGCCACAUACAUAUAUAUCAAGUAGUUAUUUUCCUGUAACCACAAGUGCUUUCUGAAAUUUUUCUCCCUCCUUUCUGCAGUUACUUCUCCCAGUUCAUUCUCUGCAUAAUGUUGAUAUUGUAUGUUCAGGCGCUGAGCUGCUCUGUGCUCUGAGUUACAACCUGAAUUCUACCUGUAGACUUGUUACCAUUCUUCGUGACUUUUUAGUACACAGUCUCCUUCUAGAUAAUAGGACCAGUUGAUAGGAGAACAAUUUAACUAUUGGUGGGGUUGACAAGUGAAUGUGGUGCUGGAGUGUACGUAGAAGGAAAACAGUGUGUAUUGAAAUGAUGUGCAAUCAGAAUAUGGUUCUGGUGAUGGUAAGAUGUGUGAUUAGGUGGCAGUGACAACGUGUGCUCUAUGCUUCUCAUUUUCUGUCAGCUUUGUUGCUUCACAAAUCCCACAAGUGUUUCACAACAAAGUACUUUAUGUAUUAGUAUAACUUGGGCAGGAUUUUUUUUUUUUUUUUUAAGAGCUCACUGUUGUCCUAGCAAUGUUUGAUUUCAGGCCAGGGAUGAAUGCUUUUGAAAAUCCCACUCUGAACGUAUAUGGCUGUCCUCUAUUACAUGGAUGUCAAAUUUUCCACUUCUUAUAUCCAAAGGCUAAAGUUUACUCAAAGCAAAACAGCAAGGAUCACGUUGCACUCAUCAUAAUAGCUUACAACGUGCAACCAAUAAGUAGGUCACUUAUCAGGAUGGGAUACUGUAUAAGAAGCGUGUUUGCCACGAGAGACUUAAGAGUGAGUCCCCUCUGGUAUGUAUAAUAGUCUUGUCAAUCUGAUCCAGUUCCCACAGAUGUUUAAACUAGACCUUGGUUUAAAUGGAGACGGAUCAAGGGCUAUACAACAUAUAUGAAAUAUGAAUGUGUCUUUUUCCACAAGGGCUUACUGAAGUAACUGCAGAUGUCACAGGAGGCCAAAAUUGAUUGUGUUAGUUCACUUUCAGUCUCCAUGAGCCAUUUGAAUGAUCCAGGCAUAUUCUUCCAGAAAAUGCAGGUUAGGCAGGGGAAGGGAAUAACACACAUGGCAAUGUUAGCGUGGGACAAUGAUGAACUGUUCAAGACUUGCAGUUGACCUAAUUCUGACCUUUCAGUGACUAAAGAGGUAUGAACGUUUCUUUUACAUUUCUAUCUUCGUUCUCAGCUUGCCUUUGCAAAGCAGCUCAAAGUUAUGGGGAAGUUAAAGACACAAUCUCCAGCUAAAGCAAAGAAAUACUGAAAAUCUUGCUGGAGAGGCUGUAAUUUGGGCUACUGCCUGCUGACUGCUUUUGAUAAUGGAGCACGUGAUUUCCAACAGCCCUGGUUUUGGAAAGGAGUCGU
Molecule: non-coding RNA, 4564 nt
Organism: Phasianus colchicus (ring-necked pheasant)
Lineage: Eukaryota; Metazoa; Chordata; Aves; Galliformes; Phasianidae
Source: RefSeq, a predicted model, not a curated record